RNAcentral lists this ribosomal RNA (301 nucleotides) under uncultured bacterium. Its description in RNAcentral is "partial 16S ribosomal RNA". It matches the Rfam family "Bacterial small subunit ribosomal RNA", at positions 509 to 807 of the family's 1533-position model. The record is from RNAcentral.
CAGUCGCCACGGGAAUACGUAGGGUGCGAGCGUUGUCCGGAUUUAUUGGGCGUAAAGGGCUCGUAGGUGGUUGAUCGCGUCGGAAGUGUAAUCUUGGGGCUUAACCCUGAGCGUGCUUUCGAUACGGGUUGACUUGAGGAAGGUAGGGGAGAAUGGAAUUCCUGGUGGAGCGGCGGAAUGCGCAGAUAUCAGGAGGAACACCAGUGGCGAAGGCGGUUCUCUGGGCCUUUCCUGACGCUGAGGAGCGAAAGCGUGGGGAGCGAACAGGCUUAGAUACCCCGGUAGUCCCUGUCUCUUAUAC